GACGAACGCUGGCGGCGUGCUUAACACAUGCAAGUCGAACGGAAAGGCCUGCUUUCCCUUGUGGAUUGCGGGUACUCGAGUGGCGAACGGGUGAGUAACACGUGAGUGAUCUGCCCCCAACUUGGGUAUAAGCCUGGGAAACUGGGUCUAAUUCCCGAUAGGACUGCAGGGUGGUGCCUGUGGUGGAAAACGAUUUUCUAGUGGUUGGGGAUGAGCUCGCGGCCUAUCAGCUUGUUGGUGGGGUAAUGGCCUACCAAGGCGGCGACGGGUAGCCGGCCUGAGAGGGUGGACGGCCACAUUGGGACUGAGAUACGGCCCAGACUGCUACGGGAGGCAGCAGUGGGGAAGAUUGCACAAUGGGCGGAAGCCUGAUGCAGCGACGCCGCGUGGGGGAUGACGGCCUUCGGGUUGUAAACUCCUUUCGACCGCGAGGAAGCCACCUGGUUGGAAGGGUGGUGACGGUAGUGGUAGAAGAAGCACCGGCUAACUACGUG
RNAcentral lists this ribosomal RNA (494 nucleotides) under uncultured bacterium. RNAcentral's name for it is "partial 16S ribosomal RNA". It matches the Rfam family "Bacterial small subunit ribosomal RNA", at positions 28 to 507 of the family's 1533-position model. The record is from RNAcentral.